CCGAGUUUACAACUCCCAAGCCCAAUGUGAACGUUACCAAACUGUUGCCUCGGCGGGGUCACGCCCCGGGUGCGUAAAAGCCCCGGAACCAGGCGCCCGCCGGAGGAACCAACCAAACUCUUUCUGUAGUCCCCUCGCGGACGUAUUUCUUACAGCUCUGAGCAAAAAUUCAAAAUGAAUCA
RNAcentral lists this unclassified non-coding RNA (182 nucleotides) under soil metagenome. RNAcentral describes it as "partial internal transcribed spacer 1". The record is from RNAcentral.